AUUGAACGCUGGCGGCAGGCCUAACACAUGCAAGUCGAGCGGACGAAGGGGGCUUUCUCUUGGCUUCAGUUGCCGACGGGCGAGUAAUUCCCACGAAUCUGCCCUACCUAUGAGGAUAACGUCCCUACACGGGCGCUAAUCUCGCACACGUCCUGAUGUUGAACGUGGGGGAUCUUCGGAGCACGCGCUAUUUGAUGAGCCUAAGCCGUAUUAGCUAGUUGGUAAGGUAAAUGCUUACCAAGGCGACGAUCCGUAGCAGGUCUGAGAGGGUGAUCAGUCACACUGGAACUGAGACACGGUCCAGACUCCUACGGGAGGCAGCAGUAGGGAAUCUUCCGCAAUGGGCGAAAGCCUGACGCAGCCACGCCGCGUGAGUGAUGAAGGUCUUCGGAUCGUAAAGCACUGUUAGUAGGGAGGAAGGAAAGUGUGAGUAACCCUUGAUGUUUUGACGGUACCGAAUGAGAAAGCACCGGCUAACUUCGUG
RNAcentral lists this ribosomal RNA (484 nucleotides) under uncultured bacterium. RNAcentral describes it as "partial 16S ribosomal RNA". It matches the Rfam family "Bacterial small subunit ribosomal RNA", at positions 30 to 507 of the family's 1533-position model. The record is from RNAcentral.